GCAUUGGGAGCAUGGUCCUGGUUUGUUUGAUAGCCCUGUAGCAUAUCAAGAGAGAGAGUUGCGUUUUUGAACACAUGCUGUUGAACACUGAUGCUCAUAAUUCAACUCGCAGGUUAGAAUCUUACACGUUCUUAAAAUGAAGUAAGAAUCUUCCUCCUUAAAACUCUCCUGUUUGCUAAUUAAUGUCAAUGAAGCAUGCUGCAUCGACACUGUGACCCGCACUUGGCUUUUUGGCUCAUCUGCUCGACUCUUCUGUCCCCAAAUCCCUUGUCCCCUCUCCGUCUCUGAAUGUGACUAUGGGGUUGGUCUUAAGAUGGGGUCUUUAAGUCCCUCCGAAUGAUAUUCUUGCUACUGUUGGACUCACUCCAAUCUCCCCCAGACAUUUCAGCAUAUAUAGUUUGUAUAUUUUUGUAUUCCUUUUUCUUACAGACGAACUAAUAUGAAACAUCUGCAUGCUUCAUUUUGGCGCUUUAACCAGUGGUAGAGCCCAAAUAUGUCACAUUUCUUUUAUGUUGCCAGUAUCGGAUGUUGAUGGACUUCAGUUUUCAUGAGUUGCUGCAGACAAAAAUAUAUUUAAUAUGUGAUUAUAUAUCAUAUAAUAUUAUAUUGAUGAGUGUAUCAGGAGGCUGGCCAGCCUUAGAUAUGAGUGUAAAUAAAUGUUCACAAUAUUUUUACCUAACGUUAAAAAGAGAGCCUUUUUUGUAAAUGUAUCUUGUGUUCAAUAAUACUGCUGUAUCAAUUGAUAUGACAUCAUGUAUAUUGUAAAUAGCUCCAGCGGUCAUCUGUUCGGUUAGAUCUGUAGGUUUUAGCCAUAUUCUCUUCUCUCUACCCCCCGCGUUCAGUUUGAUAUUUUUCUAUCAAGAGAAAAGCACUUCAAUAGUAUUAAUUGCAAAACAAAAAAAUACAAUGUGAACUGUAAGUGGUGCUGGAAAAUGUCAAAGGAACAGCGAUCUAUGACCCACUCGAGUGGAGAGAGAGAAACACAAGCACAAAACCAUUUCUCAUUAGCUCAGCUCUAUGCACUUUCAAAAUGAGGUUUCGAGCAUUGCUAGUCUUUCUUCAAUAAAAACACCCGUGUUUUGGACUGCAGAAAUGUGCACUAUUGAACCAAUAGAUUUGCUAUAAUUGGCUCAAAAUAGGAUACUUCAACAAUUAUCUAUUUUAUUCCCAGAGCUUGAAGGAGGAAAGAUACUGACUGUUGUAGAAAGGACUUCAUUCAGCGUUUAAUUUAAUCUGCAUCGCCUGAAGCGCUACGACAAUUUCAGAUCGAGUCGGCAUUUGCAGCUCUUGCCGCAAAUGCAGUCUUUGUUAAUACGGGAACAUUGCCUUCAUAUUUCAAUCACGGUAUAACAUCGCCUGUACGAAUUAAUUACAGUUCAUAAUCGAGAAAUUUGCCUUGAUAGUUGUUUUUUCUAGAUCCUGGAGUAGUGUCCACCUUUCACCCUUAGCAAACUAAUGUGUAACUCUACCUUAUAAACAUCUAACGUAUAAACGGGAAAUUAAUAAUCAGCACGAUUAAUAGACUACUGUUAUAUCAUGUCAUCAUCUACUAGAUGAAAAAAUCCCACCCAACUUAAUGCCUCUUUCACUAAAUAGGGGAAAACAAUGUCCGUCAAAUUGGCUAUCAAUUCUAAAACCUGGGUAUGUUUCUGGUCAUGUCCAACCACGGUUCCGCUGUCAUUAAAUUAUUCAAGAAUGUAACAGUCAGAGAAACAUGGAGUCCCUGUGGCCACAGCUACUUACAGAUCAGUAACAGCCAGUUAGGAAAAAAAUAUAAGUGAAAACAUCUAUAAAUAAAUUGAAAUAUGUUGUAUGUUUUUUAAUAUCUUGUAGAAAAUACUUUUGUAAGUAUGUUGAAAGUAAAGUAUUUGCUGGAUUCUGCUUCCUUGGACAACAGUGACAAAACAAUAAUGUACAGAUGUAUUUGUGUUGAUAACAUAUACAAAAACGAUGUGGCUGUGCAAUUUAUGUACAUUUGCAACUAGACUUAUUAAAGUUUUAUUUA
This is a long non-coding RNA of Esox lucius (northern pike), 2005 nucleotides long. The record is from Ensembl. NCBI's taxonomy places the organism in Eukaryota, Metazoa, Chordata, Actinopteri, Esociformes, Esocidae.